UGCAUUGAUCGCACGUCACACCUGCUUGUGUUACCUGGCCGUUAGGUGGCGUUGCACUAAAUGCGCGUAAUACGACCGGCUUGAUUUCAGAAAGGUGUAAACACACCAAUAUAAUAGAUCACGGUACACUUAAUACAAACCGUGAACUUUACACUAUUUACUCGUUUUCAUUUAGAAUGGGAUAGAAGCUGUAAUACAGAUAUAAAUAUAGUGCAAAUUGUAUAGUUUCAUCCCCGCAUCACUUAAAGUUUUAGUGCUAAAACAUUUUAUAAAGGAAACAAUAUUCAAACUUUAAAACUAAUUCUUUAACAUAAGAAAUCAUUGAGGAUUCCGUUUAAAAUUUUUUGAAAAAAUCAGACUAUCUUUUUAAAGUCUUAUUCAGAAGACAAUCCUAAUGUGUGAAACUGUUUGCAUUAAAAAAAAUGGUUGAACCUGCUCAUUAUGAAUUAACAGAUCAGUUUGGAGCAAGUAGUGUUUUAGCAGCAGCAUUACAUCAGAUGGAUGGCAUUAUUUCUAGCACCGAUUUCGAAUUUCGCACUGAUGCUAGUGAUCAUGCUGAUCAUGCUAUGGCCUUUCGAAAAGCGAGACCACUAGGAAGAGCCAAGGUCUGUUAUUUAUUAUAUGAUUUAAAAAGAGCUUUAGAAGGUUCCAGAGACAGACAACUCCUAUUAGACUCAAUACCAGCAGACAUUGUUUUAUUUCUUCGUGAUUGGUUGUUAUCAGAAGAAGUAUGUCUGGAGGCGAUGUUCGUUUCAUCAUUGAAGAAGUAAGACUUGGCUUUAAUAAGUCUAACCUAGUUCUAAGUUGUCGACCAAUAAACAGUUCUGCAGGAGUUAACUUUGUAACACA
Patella vulgata (common limpet) is the source of this 849-nucleotide long non-coding RNA. RefSeq lists it as uncharacterized. The record is from RefSeq and is a predicted model, not a curated record. The transcript has 4 exons. Lineage: Eukaryota; Metazoa; Mollusca; Gastropoda; Patellidae.